This 253-nucleotide ribosomal RNA is filed under the name uncultured bacterium. RNAcentral's name for it is "partial 16S ribosomal RNA". It matches the Rfam family "Bacterial small subunit ribosomal RNA", at positions 524 to 776 of the family's 1533-position model. The record is from RNAcentral.
UACGAAGGGGGCUAGCGUUGUUCGGAAUUACUAGGCGUAAAGCGCGCGUAGGCGGACAUUUAAGUCAGGGGUGAAAUGCCGGGGCUCAACCUCGGAACUGCCUUUGAUACUGGAUGUCUGGAGUUCGGGAGAGGUGAGUGGAAUUCCGAGUGUAGAGGUGAAAUUCGUAGAUAUUCGGAGGAACACCAGAAGCGAAGGCGGCUCACUGGCCCGAUACUGACGCUGAGGUGCGAAAGCGUGGGGAGCAAACAGG